Molecule: unclassified non-coding RNA, 293 nt
Filed under: uncultured fungus
Lineage: Eukaryota; Fungi
Description: partial contains 5.8S rRNA, ITS2 and 28S rRNA
Rfam family: Eukaryotic large subunit ribosomal RNA
Source: RNAcentral
AAGGAGUCUAACAUGUAUGCGAGUCUUUGGGUGGCAAACCCAUAGGCGCAAUGAAAGUGAAUUCAGGUGGGAUCCGCAAGGUGCACCAUCGACCGAUCCUCACGUCUUUUAAGUCGUGGAUUUGAGUAAGAGCAUACCUGUUGGGACCCGAAAGAUGGUGAACUAUGCCUGAAUAGGGUGAAGCCAGAGGAAACUCUGGUGGAGGCUCGUAGCGGUUCUGACGUGCAAAUCGAUCGUCAAAUUUGGGUAUAGGGGCGAAAGACUAAUCGAACCAUCUAGUAGCUGGUUCCUGC